AGUCAAUGCCUUAUGUGGAAUUGGUCAGCGAAACGAGGUCCAACCAAAUGGACAGCAAGCGCGCAUGCAUGGCAGCUGACUGGGCAAAAGCCCUAGCAUAAAACCAGAGGGCGGAGCACUGUUCACGCGUAAUUUUUUUUUGCAGAAAUUAAAUCUAAACACAUCACUAGAAAGCUCUUGCCAUGCACAACACGAAUCUAACAUCAAUUUGGUCUAAAUCAUCAUGAACAAAGCGAAUCGAGCAGA
Molecule: long non-coding RNA, 246 nt
Filed under: Lathyrus oleraceus (garden pea)
Lineage: Eukaryota; Viridiplantae; Streptophyta; Magnoliopsida; Fabales; Fabaceae
Description: Pisum sativum (pea) long non-coding RNA (PSAT_LNC029570)
Source: RNAcentral